CACGUAGGGUGCGAGCGUUGUCCGGAAUUAUUGGGCGUAAAGAGCUCGUAGGCGGUGUGUCGCGUCGGCCGUGAAAACUUGGGGCUUAACUCUGAGCGUGCGGUCGAUACGGGCAUCACUUGAGUUCGGCAGGGGAGACUGGAAUUCCUGGUGUAGCGGUGAAAUGCGCAGAUAUCAGGAGGAACACCGGUGGCGAAGGCGGGUCUCGUGGGC
RNAcentral lists this ribosomal RNA (213 nucleotides) under uncultured bacterium. RNAcentral describes it as "partial 16S ribosomal RNA". It matches the Rfam family "Bacterial small subunit ribosomal RNA", at positions 524 to 734 of the family's 1533-position model. The record is from RNAcentral.